This 492-nucleotide ribosomal RNA is filed under the name uncultured bacterium. Its description in RNAcentral is "partial 16S ribosomal RNA". It matches the Rfam family "Bacterial small subunit ribosomal RNA", at positions 29 to 507 of the family's 1533-position model. The record is from RNAcentral.
AGUGAACGCUGGCGGUAGGCCUAACACAUGCAAGUCGAACGGCAGCACAGUAAGAGCUUGCUCUUACGGGUGGUGAGUGGCGGACGGGUGAGGAAUACAUCGGAAUCUACUUUUUCGUGGGGGAUAACGUAGGGAAACUUACGCUAAUACCGCAUACGACCUACGGGUGAAAGCAGGGGAUCUUCGGACCUUGCGCGAUUGAAUGAGCCGAUGUCGGAUUAGCUAGUUGGCGGGGUAAAGGCCCACCAAGGCGACGUUCCGUAGCUGGUCUGAGAGGAUGAUCAGCCACACUGGAACUGAGACACGGUCCAGACUCCUACGGGAGGCAGCAGUGGGGAAUAUUGGACAAUGGGCGCAAGCCUGAUCCAGCCAUACCGCGUGGGUGAAGAAGGCCUUCGGGUUGUAAAGCCCUUUUGUUGGGAAAGAAAAGCAGCAGGUUAAUACCCCGCUGUUCUGACGGUACCCAAAGAAUAAGCACCGGCUAACUUCGUG